RNAcentral lists this ribosomal RNA (446 nucleotides) under uncultured bacterium. RNAcentral's name for it is "bacterial SSU rRNA". It matches the Rfam family "Bacterial small subunit ribosomal RNA", at positions 217 to 662 of the family's 1533-position model. The record is from RNAcentral.
GGUAUGGGAUGAGCUUGCGUCCGAUUAGCUAGUUGGCGGGGCAACGGCCCACCAAGGCGACGAUCGGUAGCCGGCCCGAGAGGGUGAUCGGCCACAUUGGGACUGAGAUACGGCCCAGACUCCUACGGGAGGCAGCAGUAGGGAAUAUUGCACAAUGGGGGAAACCCUGAUGCAGCAACGCCACGUGUGGGAAGAAGCAUUUCGGUGUGUAAACCACUGUCAUGAGGGAAUAAGGCCCGCCUUCGGACGGGAUUGAAUGUACCUUGAGAGGAAGCACCGGCAAACUUCGUGCCAGCAGCCGCGGUAAUACGAGGGGUGCAAGCGUUGUUCGGAAUUACUGGGCGUAAAGGGAGCGUAGGUGGAGAUUCAAGCGGAUUGUACAAUCCCGGGGCCCAACCCCGGCUCUGCAGUCCGAACUGGAUCUCUUGGAUAGUUCAGGGGCAGGC